UGUGUGUGUGUAUAUGUAUAUGUGUGUGUGUCUGUGUGUGUGAGACAGAUGAUGGAACAUGUAGGUUAUUUUAAGGCAAUGGGGGAGCAUAGCAUAGAUCAGGCAAGCAAGUCUUACUAGAGUCAGUAAACGUAACAGCCAGAAUCUGCUGGAAACCAUCAACAAGUAGGCUGUUUUCUUAUUUUCAGACACACACACACCUUUGUUCAGGAUACCUUCCGUAGCUGUCAGUCAAAUGCCGUUUUUCCCAACGUCCCUGUACACAUGUAUGCAGGGCUUGGCUGAGCAUGCAUGUGUUUUUAAUGGCAGGAGCGGAAUAAACCAUUGUCAGGCAUGCUGAAGUCUAAAAUGCCCAGUCCUCCUUAUGACAGACAUUAUCUGUCAGGGGAGAGUUGGCACACCCCCAGUACACUUGAGCUAAUUGGCUAGUCCCAUCAAAAGUCAGAUUAAGCUCAUUUUUUGUGGCUCGGAUGCGGACCCCUUCACUUCAGUGCGGCCUCAAAAGAUUCAGACUGCACUCCGAGUGCUGCCCGCAAAGAAAUAAAACAUGUCCCACUGCAGACAAGAAUAGGCAUUUCUAUCAUGAGCUGCCCGUUCCAGUCUGCAAAUUGCGGAACGCACACGGCCAUCAUCUGUGUUUUGCAGAUCCGCAAACAUGGCGCGGUCGUGUGCAUGAGCCCUAACAGUGCUGCUCUGCAGUCAUCAAAGGGGUUGUCCCAUUAUAACAGCAUAGCCCCUGUCCUUUACAUAGGGAACAAGUGUUUGAUUGGAAGGGGUCCGACAGCUGGGGCCACCACCGAUCAUUAGAGCGGGAGCUCCAUUCAACUCUAUGGGACUGCUGGAAAUGAGAGUACAAGCGUUCUGGUACCUCCGCAGCCCCAUAGAGAUGAAUGAGGCAGCAGUGCACGUGUGUGUUCGCUGCUCUAUUCAAAUAGGGCAACACAGGCCCCAUUCAUGAGUAAUCAGCAGGGGUCCGACCGAAGAGGUCCCAGAUAGACACUUAAGGGAUAAGGUGUUGUAACGGGAUAACCACAUUAACACGUUCCAUACUCAGUCAUAUUAAGGGUAGAUAUACACAUGGCAGACUUGGUUCAGAAAGUUUUUGCAAAGAAUUUCAUAAACUUCUUGAAUUCAUGUGUUACCUCUGGUAACAGCCAAUCACAUUCACAGCCUUCACCCUUGUGCCCCCAAACUACUAAAUGGAUCCAUCAACAGCAGGUUGUUCGUGGUUUCCAAGUCCCCCUGAUUCCGGAUGUGACGUUCACGGACCGCUGGUACGGCUCUGAGCCAUUCUAGGAGGGUUUAUAAUGUGCAUUAAAGUCGUAUAGAGAAAAGUCUAUGGUUCUGUUUGAAACCAAAUUAAGAGAAGAAAAACCUAUUGUCAGAAUAUGCUGGGAGUUUAUAUUCCUACGGAGCUCGACAUAGACAUGUGAAGUCAGGGUUGGUUUGCUGUACACAGCACCAGUGCUGAACAAUGACCGCUAUGGUCAGCCAUCCUACCUAAAUCGGUGCCUUGCAACAUUUUAAAACAUUUGGCACAAAAAACUAAUAUUUAUACACACACAAUGUAUCUACCUGAGGAUGACUCCAGGGCAAAUUUAGAAUUUUAGGGGAGCAUUUUCUGCACCCCUUGACCUGUUCUAGUAUAAUAUUGGAAGGCAUCGACAUUUCUAAUGACUACAGAACAGGUCGGGCACAGCUGACCCCAGGGCUGUAGAGGGGUCCGUGUAUGAUAUUGUACAAUCAGAGUGGCUCGGUGUACAGAUUGUGUGGUAAUUCCUGUUUAACCAAAUAUGUAAUAUUUUACGCAAAAAUGAAUAUAGUAUAUUUUUGCCAUGGAAAUAAAAUAUUUGGGGCGGUUACCAGAGUCCUGCAGUCUUUGUUCUUGUGCAGCACAAGAUGGGCGCCAUUACCCCGAACAGAAGAGGAAGAGAAAAACAGUGUUAGAGUUGGGGUACAUUCCCACGACAGUGUGUAUUUUGUUUUAUUUUUUUGUGGACUUAUUGCCUUCUAUAGGUCCACAUCUGUGUCCAAGAAUAGGACACAUCCGUGUGCUUUCUGCAUCCGUAUGCGCUACAGGCCACAAAUCCAGACCACAAAUCCAGACCACAGACCCGCUGAACUCAAUGGGUCAA
This is a long non-coding RNA of Bufo bufo (common toad), 2135 nucleotides long. RefSeq lists it as uncharacterized. The record is from RefSeq and is a predicted model, not a curated record. The transcript is spliced from 2 exons. NCBI's taxonomy places the organism in Eukaryota, Metazoa, Chordata, Amphibia, Anura, Bufonidae.